Long non-coding RNA from Heterocephalus glaber (naked mole-rat), 3402 nucleotides. The record is from Ensembl. NCBI's taxonomy places the organism in Eukaryota, Metazoa, Chordata, Mammalia, Rodentia, Bathyergidae.
AAAUAAUCUCCAACUAAUAGGAAGGACCACAAAAUCAUACUUCAAGCAACAGAGGUACCAUGCAGGAUGAAUAAUAGGGGCCAUCCUACAGUGGUGCUCCAAGCAGACAGGAAACAUGGCCCAGAAGCAUGGAGGCGCAUCUGUGUCUUGUUUCAGGAAGAAUCAUGCUGCUUGGUCUCCUCCAGUAGAACACGCACAUUCCAUCUCUGAAGAAAGAAAAUUUCAACAGUCCUGGCUCAUUCUAUCCUUUGUUCUCUUUGUGCCCUACAAGGCACAGUGGUCAUAAAGGCUCAGAGGUGCAUCCUGUGCUCUCCGUACAUCCGUUCCAGGUAUGUCUCUACACUUCACAAACAGCACAAGUCAUAGAAAGCAGCGCCCAUCUUGUGCCCAGGGCACGUCUAGAGCCAAGUGAGAACAGGAGAGGAGGGGAGAGAUGCUGCUUCAUAAUACAGACUGUCCCACAGCAGGUGGAAUAAAAAUCCUGUCAGUGGAUGUGAAUCUCCUAUUGUGAUCCCUGAAGUUCCGCUGAGCUCAAGACAGAUGGACACCCUGCAGCAGCUGCACAAAAUGGCUCUCAGAUCUGACCCGCAUACAAAGCAGAGAGCAUGAGAGUGCUCCAAAGAGAGCUGGCAGCCUCUUGACGUCCGUAAAAUACAAGGCUGGCUCUGGCUUUGACCCUCGCACAUCCCCUAAAACAUGGUAAAGGAAUAGAGAAGUGCUGCACUGCAUUCUUGGAAUUAUUCCAGUCAAUUUGAAUAUAUGACCAAUAUUUGAAUGUAAGACCAUUUAUCAGCUAUUCUGUGUUAUCUGAUAAUACGCUAUCAUCCUUCCAACCUCAAAGACCAGGAGACUAAAUGGUUCAAUAGUGUUUUUUCUUUUCUGUGGCAUUUCCAGGUGACAUAUCUUAUAGUGAGAUAAAAAUAAGGGUAAUACUGUUAGACUGUCUCUUUUCUAGCUGCACAAAAAUAUCCCAUCCUGCCCAUGUGGGACGUGGAUGGCAGGAAACUGACCCGCCUGGCGAGGAGAGAUGGUUGCCUCCAGGAAGGAGUCAAGAGGCCAAACACUGGACACAGGGUGAGGAGUGAGUGCUUGCCAACUCUGGAAAGGAGUCCUAUGCCUGGAUCUUGUCCCAUUGUGCUGGCUGAGCACCACAGGGGACUUUCAAGUGGCACAAAUUCUCGGCUGCACACGGUACCUAAGCCACAGACUGAAAAAUUAUGCAAGCAGGGUCCAGUGCUAAGAAACAGACUAGUGGGACCAAAGGAAGUAGAAUCAAGGUCCUUGCACAAGUAAACUUGGUUUGUGAAUGGGAGAUACAGGAAAAUGUGAAACAGAGAAGACAGAAAACUGACCAGGCAAACUCUCCUGCUCCCUUUUCGUACUCACUUAUCUUUGAUUCUUAUUGAGAUUCCAUAAGACUACAGAGUCUUAAUUAAGUUCAUUUUCUGACUUUUGUCCCCCUGAUGAAUCUGCCAGGUAAACCUCCAACCUGGAUCAGUUCGAACCCCUGUAUUUCCAUUCCUAUUACUGGUCUGCAGUUGCAUACCUCAGGAGAAAAUAUCCUAACUGUGUAGAAUGGCAUAAUUAAUUAAUGACACCCCCACUGAGUUCUCAGGGAGCUCAGUCAUCUUUCUCAAGAACCCAUUCAAAAAUGUUAACAUCUCAGUGACUGUUUAAAUCUUCUCCAGUCCAUCAAGCCCCAUUCUACCAUGCUCUCUGCCAAUUGUGCCUUCUAUUUUAUGAAGAAGAUAAAAGUCAUAAGGCAAGAAAUACACCAAUUUCCUCCCCCCACCCUUUGACUUAAAAAGAUAUCUAGGGGGUUGCUUUCUUCCCUUCUACCUCAGAAGAAGAGGUCAUUCUUGCACUGUGUGUUAUAUCCUGUCCAAGUCCUCAGAGGACUUGCUCACCAAUUACAUCUUCUUUUCCCUUCCUCUGUCUUCAGUGUCUCCCUUGCACUUACUCUUAGCAAAAAUGCUUCUUCCCAUUCAAAAAAGAGAGUUAUCCUUUACAUCUUUUCUUCUCCCUUCCCAAGUGACUUAAUAGGCCCUAAAAGGCUCCUCUAAAUUCAAAACUUUCUACUUUGUCACUUGGCAUAGGUGAAACAGCUCUCAUCAAGUCAAUAACAAUACGCUCAUGAUCAAAACCAAUAGAUACUUUUCUGUUUUUAUUUCACUUGCUACAUGUAACAUAAUGGACCCUUUCUCUUCUCUUUGCUGCCGUGAUAUCAAUCUCUCCUAAUCUCAUUCUUGUUCAUGCUGCACUCCUUCAUUAUGUCUUUUGCUGAUAUUUCCUGCUCCCUUUCUCUUCUCACAGUACAAACAUAUAUUUCUCAUUUAAUCUCACCCACAUCAGCCAGCACGAACCACAUAAAUACACAGAAUUUACAGAGCCAAUUCUAAUCCCCGUUCAUUCCGGAAGACUCUGUCCAAAAAGUCUGCUAAAAGUUUAAUUUGGACAUAACAGAACUACCUCUAACUUAUUAUAUCCCAAAUUGAACUCAUAGGCUUCCUCAAAAGAAAUAAAACCUAGUCUCUAGUGACUAGUCAUUUCCCUCCUACACACCCAAAUGAGGAACUGAGAAUCAGUCUAGAUUCUUGUCUAUCCUUUGCCCUUCACGCACAACUGGUCACCAAAUGCUAUUGAUCCUGCCUCUUAAAUACUUCUUAACAGCUCUACUCAUGUCUGUGUCCAUUUUCACUGCUGUUGUUAGUGUCUCAUCAUUACUUCCCUGAACUAUAGCAAUGGAUGCCUAAUUUAACUCAUUGUCUCUGCCCUGACAUCCCUUAAACUUGUCUUCCAAAGUUCUUCUCUGCCUUUGUUCAAAAAAAGAUAUACUUUGUGAAAAAUAACAAAACUUCUUAGCAAGCCAUAUAAAUCACUCACAAUUUGAAAAAUAUAAUUAUUCCCUCUAAUAAUGAUUAUGUUUGUGGGAUAUCAAUACUUUUUGCAUAAGGUUUCAUAAGUCAUAAAUUAGUUUAUCCAUUUUAAAUAUUCAGAAGAGGGUCCCAAACAAAGACAAGGUUCGGGAAAAUUAGAUAAUAUCACAGUAUGAAUUCAAUAAAUAUUCAUUUACUAAAUGAUAACUGCUACUCAGCAGAAGAUAAGAUGUUUAGCAUCCCAGCAUUAUGCAGGCACCAAGUACAGCACAGCAGAUGUCAGGUUCCAGUCUCCUGGGAAAGGAACUGCUGACAUGGUACCAGUUAGGUACCUUAAUGGUUCAAAGACAAAUUUCUUGUUACAUUCCACAUUUGAGCAUGCAGAGCAAUUUGAGAUAAAAAUCAUCCUAACCCUGAGAUUUCUUUAUCUAUUUCUUAUUUUUACCUCUACUGGGACUGAUUUGCUUACAUUUUCUUCGGUUUUUCACUGUUUGAAAUCUUCUGGUAUAGAUUUAUAUAUAUAUAU